RNAcentral lists this long non-coding RNA (1716 nucleotides) under Monomorium pharaonis (pharaoh ant). RNAcentral describes it as "uncharacterized LOC118645488". The record is from RNAcentral. Lineage: Eukaryota; Metazoa; Arthropoda; Insecta; Hymenoptera; Formicidae.
UUUAUGAUAUAUAUCGAAAAAAAGGCAAAAAUGUCUUCAUUUUUGAGGGAUAAUUUCACCCCUUCAAACCGUGUUUGAGCUCAAACGAAAAAUUUCUAAAUUUAUGUAUUUAUCUCCUCCACAUUAAUGCCAAGUUUUAUUAAAAUCAAAACUUUUGGGUUUGCGAGUUGCCCUUCUCAGUUUUAUUCAGUUUUAAUACAUAGUAUGGGAGUACUGUGCAAAAUGUCAAUGUUUUUUCAAAAAACAACUUUUUUCAAAAAAUAAGUAGCAUAGUCAAAUAGAAGUAUUAAUGCUGUAAAACUUUUGUAUAAAACAUUUUUUGAUAUUUUGUUUAGUUUAUGAGAUAUAUUGAGAAAAGGCAAAAACGUCUUUACCUAUGAAGAGUGAUUUCACUCCUUUAAACUGUUUUUGGGCCUAAACCGAAAGUUUCUAAAUUCGUGUAUUUACUUCCUCUAUAUUUAUGCCAAAUUUUAUUAAAAUCAGAGUUUAAGAAGUCGCGAGGUUUUUUUGUUGGUAAAUGUGGCAACGCUGCAAAAGAGGUUAGAUCUUGCUAACUCUUUGAAGAUACUUUUUCGCUAAUACUCUCUUCUCUUUCCAAAAAUACUUUUUUGGGGCACGUUUUUUUAUUUUAAACAUUAGAAUCAGAGGACGGGCUCGGCUCCAACAUUUUCAAAACAAAUCUGACAUCGAAUGGAGCAGUCUGCUGCACGUACGUGCAGUCAGUCCUUCGCGUGGCAUUACCACGUCUAAACUAUACUAAUCAAACGAGAGAAUGUACUCGCUUGACUAGUUUGGUAUCGACAGUACUACUUUAAAAGAUUUUGAAAUAUAACAAAACUAAAAAUUAUUUUAUCAAUAAAGUAUGAUUUUAUCUCUUAAAACCGUUUUACCGAUUGCGGUCUACAUCACGCUUCGAAACAUUUGAUUGAUUAAUUUGUCAUGUUAAGCGAUGGGUGCCGCCACGGUGCGGAGGCAAACGGUAACUAAAAAUAGGUCUAAGAUAUACUGUUUGAAUGCUUCGUAAGAGACUUAAGAGAAAAUGACUUUUUUGGUAAAUUUAACCGAUUUAUUAAACUACGCAGGUGAGGGCAGUCGCAAAUAUAUUGAAGGGAGAAAUGUUGUGAAUGCACAUCACUUGAUAACGUGAUGACAGUGGCAUCACAGAUGAUGAUGAAGAGAAAACGAGUUUAAUAUUUUUAUGUCUGAAGUCAAGCAAUUUAUACAGUAAUCUACAUGAAAUUAAUGUAUAAAUUAUAAAAAAUAUUGAUGAAAAAAUUAUUAAAUGUUCAUGUUUGUGUAAAGCCGAGUCUGGACAAUGCAAGCACCGCAUAGCAGCGCUUAUAUAUUUAAUUAGGACAGAAAUGAUGUGAUAUAGAAAGAUCUACAUGCACUGAUAUUAAACAUAAAUGAGGCAAAUUAAAAAACACUGUCAGAACAAUGUAUGAAGCGGUACCAAUUAAAAAAUUUUGUCAUAGAUUACAAAAAGAAUGUAAUUACAUGGGUACCCGAAAUUAGUCCAUGUAUGCUAGAUAAACUUGUGCAAUGUAUAUUAAAAGGUAAUUAAUUAGUUUAUUGUAUAAAUAAUAAAUAUACAUUCUUCACAUAAUGUACACAAUCAAGAAUUUUUGCAGAUAAGAAAAACAGUAUGCUUAUAAAUUAAAAGAAGGCUACAAUAAAUGAGAAAAGAUCUGCACUUAAUACUGCUCCAAAGAAAAA